GGUUAAGCGACUAAGCGUACACGGUGGAUGCCCUGGCAGUCAGAGGCGAUGAAGGACGUGCUAAUCUGCGAAAAGCGUCGGUAAGGUGAUAUGAACCGUUAUAGCCGGCGAUGUCCGAAUGGGGAAACCCAGUGUGAUUCGUCACACUAUCGUUAACUGAAUACAUAGGUUAACGAGGCGAACCGGGGGAACUGAAACAUCUAAGUACCCCGAGGAAAAGAAAUCAACCGAGAUUCCCCCAGUAGCGGCGAGCGAACGGGGAGCAGCCCAGAGUCUGAAUCAGCUUGUGUGUUAGUGGAACGGUCUGGAAAGUCCGACGGUACAGGGUGAUAGUCCCGUACACCAAAAUGCACAGGCUGUGAACUCGAAGAGUAGGGCGGGACACGUGGUAUCCUGUCUGAAUAUGGGGGGACCAUCCUCCAAGGCUAAAUACUCCUGACUGACCGAUAGUGAACCAGUACCGUGAGGGAAAGGCGAAAAGAACCCCGGCGAGGGGAGUGAAAAAGAACCUGAAACCGUGUACGUACAAGCAGUGGGAGCACCUUCGGGUGUGACUGCGUACCUUUUGUAUAAUGGGUCAGCGACUUAUAUUCUGUAGCAAGGUUAACCGUAUAGGGGAGCCGCAGGGAAACCGAGUCUUAACUGGGCGUUAAGUUGCAGGGUAUAGACCCGAAACCCGGUGAUCUAGCCAUGGGCAGGUUGAAGGUUGGGUAACACUAACUGGAGGACCGAACCGACUAAUGUUGAAAAAUUAGCGGAUGACUUGUGGCUGGGGGUGAAAGGCCAAUCAAACCGGGAGAUAGCUGGUUCUCCCCGAAAGCUAUUUAGGUAGCGCCUCGUGAACUCAUCUUCGGGGGUAGAGCACUGUUUCGGCUAGGGGGUCAUCCCGACUUACCAACCCGAUGCAAACUACGAAUACCGAAGAAUGUUAUCACGGGAGACACACGGCGGGUGCUAACGUCCGUCGUGAAGAGGGAAACAACCCAGACCGCCAGCUAAGGUCCCAAAGUCAUGGUUAAGUGGGAAACGAUGUGGGAAGGCACAGACAGCCAGGAUGUUGGCUUAGAAGCAGCCAUCAUUUAAAGAAAGCGUAAUAGCUCACUGGUCGAGUCGGCCUGCGCGGAAGAUGUAACGGGGCUAAACCAUGCACCGAAGCUGCGGCAGCGACACUAUGUGUUGUUGGGUAGGGGAGCGUUCUGUAAGCCUGCGAAGGUGUGCUGUGAGGCAUGCUGGAGGUAUCAGAAGUGCGAAUGCUGACAUAAGUAACGAUAAAGCGGGUGAAAAGCCCGCUCGCCGGAAGACCAAGGGUUCCUGUCCAACGUUAAUCGGGGCAGGGUGAGUCGACCCCUAAGGCGAGGCCGAAAGGCGUAGUCGAUGGGAAACAGGUUAAUAUUCCUGUACUUGGUGUUACUGCGAAGGGGGGACGGAGAAGGCUAUGUUAGCCGGGCGACGGUUGUCCCGGUUUAAGCAUGUAGGCUGGUUAUCCAGGCAAAUCCGGAUAAUCAAGGCUGAGGUGUGAUGACGAGGCACUACGGUGCUGAAGUAACAAAUGCCCUGCUUCCAGGAAAAGCCUCUAAGCAUCAGGUAACAUCAAAUCGUACCCCAAACCGACACAGGUGGUCAGGUAGAGAAUACCAAGGCGCUUGAGAGAACUCGGGUGAAGGAACUAGGCAAAAUGGUGCCGUAACUUCGGGAGAAGGCACGCUGGUGUGUAGGUGAAGUCCCUGCGGAUGGAGCUGAGACCAGUCGAAGAUACCAGCUGGCUGCAACUGUUUAUUAAAAACACAGCACUGUGCAAACACGAAAGUGGACGUAUACGGUGUGACGCCUGCCCGGUGCCGGAAGGUUAAUUGAUGGGGUUAUCCGUAAGGAGAAGCUCUUGAUCGAAGCCCCGGUAAACGGCGGCCGUAACUAUAACGGUCCUAAGGUAGCGAAAUUCCUUGUCGGGUAAGUUCCGACCUGCACGAAUGGCGUAAUGAUGGCCAGGCUGUCUCCACCCGAGACUCAGUGAAAUUGAACUCGCUGUGAAGAUGCAGUGUACCCGCGGCAAGACGGAAAGACCCCGUGAACCUUUACUAUAGCUUGACACUGAACAUUGAGCCUUGAUGUGUAGGAUAGGUGGGAGGCUUUGAAGCGUGGACGCCAGUCUGCGUGGAGCCAACCUUGAAAUACCACCCUUUAAUGUUUGAUGUUCUAACGUUGGCCCCUUACCGGGGUUGCGGACAGUGUCUGGUGGGUAGUUUGACUGGGGCGGUCUCCUCCCAAAGCGUAACGGAGGAGCACGAAGGUUAGCUAAUCCUGGUCGGACAUCAGGAGGUUAGUGCAAUGGCAUAAGCUAGCUUGACUGCGAGCGUGACGGCGCGAGCAGGUGCGAAAGCAGGUCAUAGUGAUCCGGUGGUUCUGAAUGGAAGGGCCAUCGCUCAACGGAUAAAAGGUACUCCGGGGAUAACAGGCUGAUACCGCCCAAGAGUUCAUAUCGACGGCGGUGUUUGGCACCUCGAUGUCGGCUCAUCACAUCCUGGGGCUGAAGUAGGUCCCAAGGGUAUGGCUGUUCGCCAUUUAAAGUGGUACGCGAGCUGGGUUUAGAACGUCGUGAGACAGUUCGGUCCCUAUCUGCCGUGGGCGCUGGAGAAUUGAGGGGGGCUGCUCCUAGUACGAGAGGACCGGAGUGGACGCAUCACUGGUGUUCGGGUUGUCAUGCCAAUGGCACUGCCCGGUAGCUAAAUGCGGAAGAGAUAAGUGCUGAAAGCAUCUAAGCACGAAACUUGCCCCGAGAUGAGUUCUCCCUGAGACUUUAAGUCUCCUGAAGGAACGUUGAAGACGACGACGUUGAUAGGCCGGGUGUGUAAGCGCAGCGAUGCGUUGAGCUAACCGGUACUAAUGAACCGUGAGGCUUAACCUU
Molecule: ribosomal RNA, 2902 nt
Filed under: Klebsiella pneumoniae
Lineage: Bacteria; Pseudomonadati; Pseudomonadota; Gammaproteobacteria; Enterobacterales; Enterobacteriaceae
Description: 23S ribosomal RNA
Rfam family: Bacterial large subunit ribosomal RNA
Source: RNAcentral